CCUCGAUCCUUCUUAUCUUUCACCUUGAGUGUAUCAAGCGAUGACAGCAGCCUCAAUUCAAGCUCUUUUUCAGUUUGUACUUCCAAUUCAAUAAGGGGUAAUUUUACGAUUCCCAGUCGCUUAUCUUGCCCAAUGUCUUCAUCAAAAACCUGUUAUGAGAGUCAUGCAUUUAUGUUAGUUGUAUUAAAUCAAGUAGGAUAUAUAAACAAGAGUUUAAUGACUAUGCAUAGACUUUGAAAAAUUAAUUACAUACUCAUCUAAUUAUAUCCCAUUCAGUAGAUAUUUGUUGAGAUAUUUUAGACAGUGACAACAUACUAGUAUCCCGGUAAGAUAUGGUUGGAUGGCUGUAUAAAACUUUUUUACACUGUUUGUUAGUGUAUAGUCGAUACACUCUAAACAAUUUUUGCCAAGUUAUGGGGAGAGAAAACAAAAAAAUAUUUCAAAAAAAUAUUAAAAUCUAAAACUAUAUGUAGAGAAAUGACACCCUGUUUUGAACUGAGUUAAAAAAAAAAGUAACAUUUGUCAAUAUUUUAGUCGUAUCCCGGAAUUUUCAUAAGGUGGUGUAAAAUGCUCCAUCCCACAAUAUAAGUCAUUUUUUUUUCCUAUUGUAUCCCUCACUAUAUAUUUUAUUACUCUUCCUUUUCCAGUUCAUGUAAUCUCUCUUUCUCGUACCACUAAUGAAGGUUAAUCUUAACUCAGAAUUUUUAUAAAAUCAACGAAAUUAGCUACAUUUCUUAAUUCAUGUGCCAUUUGCUAAAGUGACUUAUAUUGUGGGAUGGAGGAAGUAUAUACAACAGAGGAAUUCUAAUUACAAAGAAAAUAUAGCUUAUGAAAAAUAAUGGCUCUAGGAUCAGAAUUAGAGGUUCAAAACACCAGAGCUAUGAAACGAGUACUCAUGCAUACCAAGAAAUAUAUAAUAUGAUUCUAAUAAUCAUCAUAUACUAAUAUGUCAGAACUGUAUGUAAUAUAUGAAAUAAAAUCAUCUUAAAUUUCUUCCAUUAUGUAAUUGAGUUUAAUGACGACUCGAGUCUUUUGUCGAUGUCAAUUAGUUUUACACCGAUGUCCUAUAAAAUCUCAUCAUAUUGCCAAGUAAGCUCAUUUUAUAACUGUAUUUUAAUAAUAAUUGUUAAAUACUAAAUUUUCAUUGGACAUCAGUGUAAAACGAAUUUACACUGAUAAUGCAUAUUCUCUUUUCUCUAUGUAAUUAGCAUCUAUGAAUCACUGACAUAGACGCAGACACAGACACAAACACAACACAGACACCUGACAUGACACUGACAAUGACACAUGCAAUAAUAGUAAUUUGAGAAAAUGAAUUAAUUGAAUUUAGUCGUGUCGGUUUCGGAGACCAGACAUACCUUCAAUCCAUAGUAUCAGUGAUUCAAAUUUUAGUAUACUUUAAGAGGAGAUGGUUUGGAAACAAAGGAUUUAGCAUAAAACCAUAAGAAAGGUGGAAGAAGAGAGCAGCAUAAAAAACCUCAAGAAUGAGUGACUGGGUCUCCUUGUCUUCUGCAAUCAACUCAAAUGUUUGAUCCCAAACAGGAUUCAAGUUGUUGUUAAUAACCUUGGUUUUAACCUUGAAUAAAG
RNAcentral lists this long non-coding RNA (1587 nucleotides) under Medicago truncatula (barrel medic). Its description in RNAcentral is "long non-coding RNA (MTRU_LNC006045)". The record is from RNAcentral. Lineage: Eukaryota; Viridiplantae; Streptophyta; Magnoliopsida; Fabales; Fabaceae.